This 270-nucleotide long non-coding RNA is filed under the name Homo sapiens (human). RNAcentral's name for it is "non-protein coding lnc-ZC3H12D-20:2". Lineage: Eukaryota; Metazoa; Chordata; Mammalia; Primates; Hominidae. The record is from RNAcentral.
GACAGUAACAUACCACUGCACAAAGCAGGCUCACUGAGGGAACUGGAAAACUGUUCAGUUCUGUGGCUUUUACGGGCCAUGUAGACAGAGGAAGGGGGCUAAGAUGUGUAAGGGAAUCAAAACCAUUUCAUUUCUCUUUGUGCUUACUGGCCAGCCGUGUCUCCUCUUCUGUGACUGCUCCUGUACUCUGCCCAUUUAUCUCCACAUGAUUUGAAGAACAGCAGAGAUCUUAGAACGAUCUACUUCAGUGAUUCUCAAGAGAAAAGAAAC